UGUCAUACCUCGCGUUACUGUUUGCAAGGUGUCUAGUCUGACGUUUGUGUUAUUGUAUCUAAACCGAGCUGUAAUAAUGCUGGGGGAUGAGGUCCAAGCUAAUAAUCUGGUGUACAAUCAAUUACAGGAUUUAAUUCAGACCCAACAACGUGUUCUAGUCACAAUCAGGGAGACGAUGAUCACCAAAGAACGGGAAUUGAUGCCAAAAGAACAAUAUGAAGAGGUUGUAAAUGACCUUGAGAAUGAGAGACUCCAGCAUGCUAAAACUCAAGCACUCCUCAACCAGGAAUCUGAAAAGCUGCAGUUUGCCCUUGGAGAAAUAGACAUCCUCACAAACCAGAUGCAAAGAGAAAAGAAGUCUUUUGAAAAAGUGCUUGCCAGUAUUAAAAAUAAAGCAUUGAAGGAAUCUACAAAAAAUGACAAACUGAAAAGCAAAUGCAACGUCCUCUUUCAGAAAUGGAGUUCACAGUUCAAAAGCAUGAGGAUAUUUUAAUUGAGAAAGAGAACCAAAUCAAGCAGCUUCACAUCCAACUCGCAAAGCACAAAACAACCUUGAAACUCCAGCUGACUGAUGUUGAGAUCCAGAGGAAGCAGGAAGCUUACAUUGCAGAAGCGCUUCAGAAGAAGCAGAGAACAGCAGGGCACUGGACCAGCGGCUCCUCUUCAUAUGACACGGCUGUAUAAUAGCUAGAAACAUUACUGUCCAGACGUCUUGUACACAGACUGGAGCUCCUUCUGUUUCCCUUUAUAGGGUAUCAACAAAGCCUUUCAAACGUGCAGCAGAAUGUGUGAACCAGUCAUGUAACAGGAGAGUAAAGGAAAAACAAAAUCUACAGCAAAAAUAAAGACUUACGUGAAAGUUAUGAAAAUUAGAGGUACGUAUAUUUUUUAAAGCCUUGCUCAUUACAUGUUUAAGGCAAACUUGUAUUGAUUUAAACUUGAAAAAGUAUAAUUGUAAAACAGGUUUUGAUCCCUCUCCAUCAAAAUCUGGACAAUGGUACAGCAUUUUCACUUUGUCCUUUAACAACGUACUUACUUGUAAGAGAUCCCAGUGAUUCAGCAAAGACAACAUGACUAGGUAACCCAUUCCAUACCCUUCCCUCUGUCCUAAGUCUAUCUCCACUAGAUUGGCACUGGUUUCCUUAUAACCACUUGUAUUUGAUUGUACAGAUGUUUAUGUUUGAUUGUAUAUAGUGUAAAGAGUCAUGCCAAACAUGACAUCACUCCUCCUGUCCAGUAAGCAUUGGGAGGAUUGCUGUAGCCAGUAGAAACUGGAGACAUGGGGAGAUGAGAUUCAGUCAAAAUGAAAAGAAAAUGUGGAAAACAAAAACCAAGAGCAAUGCAAUGAGGGCCUUGUUAAAAUGCUGCUCCACUACGUGGAGGGAAGACAUGCAUGGGUUAUUCCAGCUCGAAAGGUAAUCAAUCCCCUAAUAGUAUCAUUUACACUCACUGCAAAUAGCAGCUUCAAAAAUAACCCCAUUUGAUACACAUCAAGCACCAUGAUUAUGUAGUUCAAAAAUGAAUACCUUACACCCCAAUCUUACACACAUUUUAAACAUUGGACCUUUAUUUCUUAGUCAUUGUUUUUGUAUUGUGCAAACCUGCUGUCAUACUAAUCAUGUCCUAUAUUAAGAGACUCGUGAUGUAACAUCUUUCACUGUCUUAAUGUCAUUAGAGGUGAAAGAAAAACCUUUCAAGUGUAUCAGAAAUGAAUGAAUAAAUGAUUCAAUGUUUUUUUUUCUUUUUUCUUGUUUGUGUUGCAUGCUGCUGCCAAUGUAUCCUGUCUUGUAUUUUUUUUUUAUCUAAGAAAAGAGAAAUAGAAGAUACAGCACACACAGUACUGAGUAAUAACUACUGAUACACAUACAGGAUGUGUAUAUGGAAUAGAAGAUACAACACACAGUCAUUGAGUACUGUGAGACUAACUACUGAUACACAUACAGGAUGUUUGUAUUUAGAAGUUUUUACUUCACAUUUGAAUUGAUGGAUACUUUCACCUUCAUUGCUGUGCUGUCUGGUGUUUAAUCCUUUCAGAGCGGUCGUGAUGGAUACUUUCACCUUCAUUGCUGUGCUGUCUGGUGUUUAUCCUUUCAGAGCAGUUGUGAUGGAUACUUUCACCUUCAUUGCUGUGCUGUCUGGUGUUUAAUCCUUUCAGAGCAGUUGUGAUGGAUACUUUCACCUUCAUUGCUGUGCUGUCUGGUGUUUAAUCCUUUCAGAGCAGUUGUGAUGGAUACUUUCACCUUCAUUGCUGUGCUGUCUGGUGUUUAAUCCUUUCAGAGCGGUCGUGAUGGAUACUUUCACCUUCAUUGCUCUGCUGUCUGGUGUUUAUACUUUCAGAGCGGUCGUGGUUGGUAACAGGGCCUGGUUAUGAUGGAACAUGGCACCUGAAACUGCAGUUUAAGCAAUUGUGCAAAUCCAAUACAAACUGCAUGCCCUUGCAGUGGUAGUUCCUAGUAAAUAUUCCAGUACAUUUUCAUCAGAACGAAUGCAACAGCAAACAACCUUUAUUCGGACAUACCUAAAGCAGUUUUCAGUGACACACUGCUCUGAUUAAACUAAUAAAUGUAGUAACCUGUCAAGCUAUUUGUAAGGCAGUGAUGCACUGCAGUGAGAAGACUAGUGCUAGUAUCACAGUAUGAAGAAGGGCUAUGAACUAUACCUAUUGAAACAGCAAACAUACUGUACACCCCCCACUAUGGCUGUGAAUUCAGAAUUAGAGCUGUCAGAAUGAUGAAAAGAAAACGUAUGUACAGAAUAGAAAGAAUAAGAACUGGCAAUGAAGAGGUUAAUACAAUUUGAUGUGUCAUUUUAGAUGUCAUGUGGUAAGCAAAUGAUGUGUUAGUAUCAUGGGGAAGUAUAUUAAAAUGACUGAUUUACAAUGUGGAAUAACUUGUUGUAUUAAAGAUACAUUUAAACAUGGAAGUGUGACAGAUGGGUGUAAAGACAGAGAUUCCUGCACAUAUCCCCUCAUUCUGAGCCUCCCAAUAACUUCUGCUAAAUAAUGGUAACAGCAAGUUUCAGCACAAUUUAAUAAGCGGUUCUCCAGACAUGCAAACAUAUAAGUGUGACGUACAGAUGGAGAAAUGCAGGGACAGACAGACCCCACAUAUCCUCUGAAUCUAAAGCCCUGCCAUAAAUAUACUAUUUAUGUUUAGAAUGGGGUACCCCUCCGGCCCUGUGAAAUUUAUUACUUUGUAUUUGUUUUGUUGUAUUAUUGUUGUUGUUGUUGUUGUUGUUGUUGUUGUUAUGAUUUAUUAUGUUUAAAUAUGACGGUGAAAAGCCGUAGUUGUUAUUGUUUGGCAAGGAUGAGUGAGGUGCUGUCCGCCAUGAUGUAUUGUUUUUGUUUUGAAAUGCCGGAGGAGCAAGAGAGAGGAGGGUAAAAAUCAAAGAUAAUAAAUAAAUAAAUAAAUAAAUAAAUAAAUAAAGGCUGCUGCCCAGCCUGAUCAUAUUAUUUUGUGUUCGUGAUUUAGUUUUGUUUACAUCUUUUGUUUCGCUCUGUGAGCGAGUGUUUUUGUUUAAAUAUUUUUAUUUGUUCUUGUUAUUUAAAUAAACGGCGCACU
Molecule: RNA transcript, 3560 nt
Organism: Acipenser ruthenus (sterlet)
Lineage: Eukaryota; Metazoa; Chordata; Actinopteri; Acipenseriformes; Acipenseridae
Gene name: spermatogenesis-associated protein 24-like
Exons: 6
Source: RefSeq, a predicted model, not a curated record